GGGGAAUAUUGGACAAUGGGCGAAAGCCUGAUCCAGCCAUGCCGCGUGUGUGAAGAAGGUCUUCGGAUUGUAAAGCACUUUAAGUUGGGAGGAAGGGCAGUAAAUUAAUACUUUGCUGUUUUGACGUUACCGACAGAAUAAGCACCGGCUAACUCUGUGCCAGCAGCCGCGGUAAUACAGAGGGUGCAAGCGUUAAUCGGAAUUACUGGGCGUAAAGCGCGCGUAGGUGGUUCGUUAAGUUGGAUGUGAAAUCCCCGGGCUCAACCUGGGAACUGCAUUCAAAACUGACGAGCUAGAGUAUGGUAGAGGGUGGUGGAAUUUCCUGUGUAGCGGUGAAAUGCGUAGAUAUAGGAAGGAACACCAGUGGCGAAGGCGACCACCUGGACUGAUACUGACACUGAGGUGCGAAAGCGUGGGGAGCAAAC
Molecule: ribosomal RNA, 425 nt
Filed under: uncultured bacterium
Lineage: Bacteria
Description: bacterial SSU rRNA
Rfam family: Bacterial small subunit ribosomal RNA
Source: RNAcentral